CGUGUGUGAAAUGUUGGGUUAAGUCCCGCAACGAGCGCACCCCCUAUCCUUAUUUGCCAGCGCGUUAUGGCGGGAACUCUAAGGAGACUGCCGGUGAUAUACCGGAGGAAGGUGGGGACGACGUCAAGUCAUCAUGGCCCUUACGGGAUGGGCUACACACGUGCUACAAUGGCGUAUACAGAGUGCUGCAAUACCGCGAGGUGGAGCGAAUCACACAAAGUACGUCGUAGUCCGGAUUGGAGUCUGCAACUCGACUCCAUGAAGUCGGAAUCGCUAGUAAUCGUAGAUCAGAAUGCUACGGUGAAUACGUUCCCGGGCCUUGUACACACCGCCC
This 334-nucleotide ribosomal RNA is filed under the name uncultured Pseudomonadales bacterium. Its description in RNAcentral is "bacterial SSU rRNA". It matches the Rfam family "Bacterial small subunit ribosomal RNA", at positions 1061 to 1395 of the family's 1533-position model. The record is from RNAcentral. Lineage: Bacteria; Pseudomonadati; Pseudomonadota; Gammaproteobacteria; Pseudomonadales.